GCAAUCGACCAUAGGAUGUAUUCUGGAAAACAGGGCUUCCCGUCCGCUCAGCCGUACUGAAACCACAUACCGGCCAGCUAGUACUGAGGUGGGUGACCACUCGGGAAUCCUGGCUGUCGAUUGUU
This 125-nucleotide ribosomal RNA is filed under the name Capronia coronata CBS 617.96. Lineage: Eukaryota; Fungi; Ascomycota; Eurotiomycetes; Chaetothyriales; Herpotrichiellaceae. The record is from RNAcentral.